CCUACGGGGGACAGCAGUGAGGAAUAUUGGUCAAUGGACGCAAGUCUGAACCAGCCAUGCCGCGUGCAGGAAGACGGCUCUAUGAGUUGUAAACUGCUUUUGUACGAGGGUAAACGCAGAUACGCGUAUCUGUCUGAAAGUAUCGUACGAAUAAGGAUCGGCUAACUCCGUGCCAGCAGCCGCGGUAAUACGGAGGAUUCAAGCGUUAUCCGGAUUUAUUGGGUUUAAAGGGUGCGUAGGCGGUCGGAUAAGUUAGAGGUGAAAUCCCGAGGCUCAACUUCGGAAUUGCCUCUGAUACUGUUCGGCGAGAGAGUAGUUGCGGUAGGCGGAAUGUAUGGUGUAGCGGUGAAAUGCUUAGAGAUCAUACAGAACACCGAUUGCGAAGGCAGCUUACCAAGCUACUUCUGACGUUGAGGCACGAAAGCGUGGGGAGCAAACAGGAUUAGAUACCCGAGUAGUC
This 460-nucleotide ribosomal RNA is filed under the name uncultured bacterium. Its description in RNAcentral is "partial 16S ribosomal RNA". It matches the Rfam family "Bacterial small subunit ribosomal RNA", at positions 338 to 795 of the family's 1533-position model. The record is from RNAcentral.